This 88-nucleotide non-coding RNA is filed under the name Humidesulfovibrio mexicanus. The record is from RNAcentral. Lineage: Bacteria; Pseudomonadati; Thermodesulfobacteriota; Desulfovibrionia; Desulfovibrionales; Desulfovibrionaceae.
AAGCGAAACCGCCUCCCGCCGCCCUUAUCGAAGGGACGGGGGCGCGGUCGCCGGGGCGUGGUUGCCCCGGCCUGAUGAGCAGCCAAAC